CGCCCCCGCACACACACACCACACUGAUGUCUCCAGUUCCGACAGCACUAGUUUACAUGUCGAUAGAGAGCCGAAGACUGAGGCCGACGCGGACGCGGAGGAGCUAAGAAGACGCCGAUUGCAGAAAUUCACAACGGCCAAAUAAUAAUUACUUUGCACGGAAAAUUUUCAGUUCAAGUUAUCAACUUGCUAUUAAUUCUAAUGUAAAAAGUGUUUUGGUAUGCAAACAUUGUGUAUUCUAAUCUAAAACAAAAUGUAUUUAUGUUCUUGUAAAUAUAAAGGGUUAUACACAUGAAUACAUUUAAAUAACACUUUAUUUUUUUAAACACUUCUUCGAAUUCAACUAAAUAUAUCUUAGUUUAAAUAUAAUAUACAUUUUAAAUACAUUUCAGCAGUUGUAAAAAGCAUUAAUAUAUCCAUAUACCUUUGGAUUGUAGUUUUCUAAGACUGGGAUUCCGUUAAAGUAACAACUCCUAUCGUAAAGUUUCACAUCAUUUUUGCAGUACCACACAUUCUUUGUACCCUCAACCCCGUCAACAUUCAAUGUGUUCAGUUCAAAUACACCGAAAUGAUAUUUCUGUCCGUCUGUUUGUAUGCAGUUCACGUAAAUCGGCUCCGGCAAAUCUUCAACUUCUUCCUGUGAAAAAACAUAUUUAUUAUAGUAAAUAACUUUGGAAAUACAACUAAUUAUUUUGUACCCCAAAGAUUUUUUUUCUCCAUACAAAUUAUAGAAAAAGUAUUGAUAAUUGU
Molecule: long non-coding RNA, 750 nt
Organism: Papilio polytes (common Mormon)
Lineage: Eukaryota; Metazoa; Arthropoda; Insecta; Lepidoptera; Papilionidae
Exons: 2
Source: RefSeq, a predicted model, not a curated record